This 1049-nucleotide long non-coding RNA is filed under the name Struthio camelus australis. RNAcentral's name for it is "lncRNA (ENSSCUG00000007557.1)". Lineage: Eukaryota; Metazoa; Chordata; Aves; Struthioniformes; Struthionidae. The record is from RNAcentral.
NNNNNNNNNNNNNNNNNNNNNNNNNNNNNNCUUGGGCCCCCAACGCCAUCCGCGAGGUCCCCGCGCCGUCACCGUCUCCCUGCAUUUCACCAUGUCUCUGCCCGGCAACUUGUCACCGUCCCCAUCGCCGUGUCCUGUCCUUGCGCCCCAUCGCUGGCCCUGUCACCGCGUCCCUUUCCCAGGUCUCGUCACCCUCCCCGUCACAGUGUCCCAUCCGGGGGCUUGUCACUGUGGCCGUGUCCCCGCUGCUGUCCCCACCUCCUGUCCCCACUCCCCAUCGCGUCUCUGCAUGCCCUCCCCGCGUCCCCCGGCGAGGCGCUGACGGGGCGCCGCUGUCCCCGCGCCCGCAGACGACGGCCAUCGAGGGCCAGGACGAGGACCUGGGGCAGGAGGAGGUGGUGCAGCAGUGCAUGCGCAACCAGGCCUGGCUCGAGCGCCUCUUCGACUCCUUCAGCGACCUCCUCACGCAGGCCCAGACCAAGUGCGCGUGACCCGGGGACGGGGACGUCCCCCUCCCCGCGACGGGGACACCCUACAGGACAGGGACACUCUCCGGGACGGGGACACUCUCUGGCAUGGGGACACCCUACGGAUGGGGGACGCUCCCUGGCAUGGGGACACCCCCUCGCACGGGGACGUUCUCCAGGACGGGGACACCUCCUGGGACGAGGACGUUCUCCAAGACAGGGACGUUCUCCAAGACGGGGACACCUCCCGGGACGGGGACACCUCCUGGGAUGGGGACGUUCUCCAAGACGGGGACACGUCCUGGGACAGGGACGUUCUCCAAGACGGGGACACCCCUGGGGACGGAGAAACCUCCCGGGACGGGGACAUCUCCUGGGAUGGGGACGUUCUCCAAGGCGGGGACGUGUCCCGGGAUGGGGACACCUCCCAGGAUGGGGACAUCUCCUGGGAUGGGGACGUUCUCCAAGGCGGGGACGUGUCCCGGGAUGGGGACACCUCCCAGGAUGGGGACAUCUCCUGGGAUGGGGACGUUCUCCAAGGCGGGGACGUGUCCCGGGAUGGGGACACCUCCCAGGAUGGGG